This 393-nucleotide ribosomal RNA is filed under the name uncultured bacterium. RNAcentral describes it as "bacterial SSU rRNA". It matches the Rfam family "Bacterial small subunit ribosomal RNA", at positions 96 to 524 of the family's 1533-position model. The record is from RNAcentral.
UGGCGCACGGGUGCGUAACGCGUGGGAACCUGCCCUUAGGUUCGGAAUAACUCAGAGAAAUUUGAGCUAAUACCGGAUAAUGUCUUCGGACCAAAGAUUUAUCGCCUUUGGAUGGGCCCGCGUUGGAUUAGCUUGUUGGUGGGGUAAAAGCCUACCAAGGCGACGAUCCAUAGCUGGUCUGAGAGGAUGAUCAGCCACACUGGGACUGAGACACGGCCCAGACUCCUACGGGAGGCAGCAGUGGGGAAUAUUGGACAAUGGGCGAAAGCCUGAUCCAGCAAUGCCGCGUGAGUGAUGAAGGCCUUAGGGUUGUAAAGCUCUUUUACUAGGGAUGAUAAUGACAGUACCUAGAGAAUAAGCUCCGGCUAACUCCGUGCCAGCAGCCGCGGUAAU